Molecule: non-coding RNA, 2279 nt
Organism: Salvia hispanica
Lineage: Eukaryota; Viridiplantae; Streptophyta; Magnoliopsida; Lamiales; Lamiaceae
Source: RefSeq, a predicted model, not a curated record
AUAAAUCCCCAAUAAUACUUUCAUUGUUUUAGGUUUUCUACAGAUCCAUAAAUGGUUUUUACAAGGAUCAAAACUAUGGCUCUUUUCUUAGUUAUGGCUCUUCUCAUUUUCUCACAAGUUGCAGACGCUCGACAGCUCGAUCGAUCUCCAUAUAAAAGAAUACCUGGAAAGUUUAACUGCCCCGAAGGACGAUAUCCGUGCUGUGGGUAUAGUGGAGUGUGCCAAUGCUGCCGGUAGCCCAACAACACUCACGUUUCCAACCAACCACUUUUGUUUUAUGUAAUUUUAAAAAAAUAUAUAUAAAGGAAAAUAAAGUUCGAAUAUUACGUUGGAUUUAUCUUUCAGAGAGUGAGCUGAUUUACAGUUGGCCCGAAUCGAAAAUGGCCUGACUAACCGAAACUUUUCUUAUUAUUUUUUUUUGUCAAACAUCUUGACUCCAUUUUUAAUUUGAGAUUAAGAUUUUAAUGUUUGCUGUGAGGGCAAACAAUUCCCAUACUGGAGAAUGAAUAAGAGUUGCAAGUGAAUAAAUGGGUUACCCCAACUGCAUUAGUAUGAAGCCUUUUGGGAAGUACCCCAAAAGCAAACUGUGAGGGCUUUGCCUAAAGCGGGCAAUAUCAUACUAACGUGGAGUUUAGGUGUGCAGUAUCGUGACCCAACAUUUGCAAAAUAAUUUUAAUAUUCUCAAACACCUAAUAAAUAAUUGGUGUUAAAUAUUUGUCCAAACAUUACCUCUUGCGAUCUACUACUUAGUGUAAGUUAUAGUAGCAGGGUCAUCUUCUAAUGAGUUUAGCCCCUUAAUCCCAAAUUGAGACUAAAUAUGGACCCUUUGAUCUAAAAAUUAAAGGCUGAGAUUGAAUGAAAAAAAUAUCAAUAUAUUGAAUUAACAAUCUCAACGAAAGGGUAAAAUGGACAAUUUACGUAAAAUUCAGCCUGCACAUUCAAUUUCAUUUCUAAAACCAUUCUCUCCACCUUCAACAACCACACCACUCACUCCAUCUUUUCUCUCAAUCCGUCGCCCCAUUCACUGAAUUUUCUCUCUGAAUCUCUCAAUCUCAUCACCGUUUCACUGCAUUUUCUCUCUGAAUCUCUCAAUCUCGUCGUCGUUCACUGCAUUUUCUCUAUCAAUCGCCCAAUCUCGUCGCCAUUCACGUCAUUUUCUCUCUCAAUCUCUUUCGCCGUCCAAAACUAGAUUCACUACUCCAAAACACAUAUCUCUAACUCAAAUACAGAAGAACAGCUCGAAAACUCCCAUUCUCCUCCGAAGAAAAGCUCGAACUAUGGCAGAUUCACAGAUUUGAAGAAAAACGACGGUAAAUAUGAUAUUUAAACUCCGAAAUUUGUUUUAAACUUGCUAAAAUUUCAACAGAAAUGAAACUAAUAGAUUUAUUUUGCAGUGAACGACUUCAAAAAAGGUGCAAUGGUUUAAGUCGAAAAUGCUCCUGCUGAAUCGAAAUGUAUUUUUCAAUUUGAUUUACCGAUUUCUGAUUUUUUGCAUUGCAGUUUGAGAUUUCAGAUUUCAACAAAGAAUUAGGGUUCAAAUUUUAGUGAAAUAUGUUUAUAAGCUUCUGUAGUUGUAUUAUUGGUAGAUUGAUUUCUGAUUUGAUAGCAUAUGAGAAUAUGAAUCUUCAUUUUCUGAAAGCUUGAAGCUCUGAUGAAUUAUUUAGAAGAUCUGUUAAUAUUAGAAAGCUUUUGUAUCCAGUACAAAUAUGGAUAUUGGGUAAGCUAAAUGUUGAUAUUGGGUAAGCUAUAUAUGAUGAUGUGUAAGCUAUAUGUUGAUAUUGGAUAAGGUAUAUGUUGAUAUUGGGUAAGCUAUAUGCUGAUGAUGUCUUAGCUAAAUGUUGAUAAUGGGUAAGCUAUAUGUUGAUAUUGGGUAAACUAUAUGUUGAUAUUGGGUUAGAUAUGUGUUGAUGAUGUCUUAGCUAAAUGUAUGCUAUAUGUUGAUAUUUGUGAAUUCAACAACCUGUUAGAAUGAUUGUAGUACUUGUCAUAAGUUUGUUUCUAAACUAAUCAUGGUUUAUGUUUACCAAAAUUACAAAUUUGCAAGUCGGUGAAGGAGAAGACAAAACAUCAUCUGACUGAAUGCGAAUGCAACAAAUUUGCCAAGGUUGAUGUGGAAGAGCUUAUUGCAAAUUGGGGAAAACAGUAGGAGCUUUGGAGGAUUAAAAAUAAACUUCUUUUGCGAUAUUUUUGAAUGUAGAAAUACUAAUGGCAUUACCUGGACAUGUUAUGUUAGUGUUCCUUUUGUCAGUAAUGAGAAAUAUCGUAACUCAUCUACAAAA